CUGUUCCUGUCAGAGCUGCAGGCAGAGCUGGAGGAGCUGUGGCUCACUGCAGAGGGAGUUCUUCAGUCCCAGGUAAUGGAGCUGGUUCGUGACUCAGCUCAUGGCACUUUUUGGCCUCAGUCGUUCCAGUGAGGACUGAGGGCUCUGUCAGCACAGGGAAAGAGCAGGGCCAGGCUUCUUUGUGAGAGCUGGGGCUGUGUUCACAGCUCUCAUGGGUUUCACUUGCACUGCAAGUGCUGCAGCUUUAUGGGGAUACUUCAGACCUUUGCAGUUUGGAAAUCUCUGGAAGCAUUGCUGUUCUCUGCAGAGCAGCUUCCAAUUCCCAGGUCAGAGUCUGCAUUUCUGGCCAUUCCUCACAGUCCCUGGUAGGAGUACAGUCGCUGUCCUGGGAAAACAUGCCCGAUGGCAGCUGCUGACUGCGUGUUCCCGGUGUUUCUCAGAGCUCCACCUGCUGUACCUCGCCCGGAGGGCUGCCCUGCGCAGGCAGAAGUGCCCGAGCUCCCAGCGUCGUACAGUCGCUGUCCUGGGAAAACGUGCCCGAUGGCAGCUGCUGACUGCGUGUUCCCGGUGUUUCUCAGAGCUCCACCUGCUGUACCUCGCCCGGAGGGCUGCCCUGCGCAGGCAGAAGUGCCCGAGCUCCCAGCCAGGGCCGGCCCUGGUGGGUGCCGAUGGUGGCCGCGCUGCGGGGCCACAGCUCCUUGUGAAGAGCCCCGACUGCUGCCCCGAGAUCCCUGCAGACACCAAGAGACUGAAGAGAGACCAGAAGGAGAACGUGCCGGGCGGCCUGGAGGUGUUCAGCUCCGCUUCCAGCCACUCCCAGCAGCACCUGGACUCAGCCCUGAGCAGGGACCUGCAGCUGCCACCCUCGAGCCACCUGUGCGGCCCUUCCAGGAAAAGUGAAGGUGCUUCUGGAUUGCCCCCAGAGCGGGCAGGAGGGAUUUGUUGUGGCCCACCGCAGGAUGCAGCCCAGGCAGAACUGGUGGCAACAGGGCAGAAGUGAAGCCGCGUCAUCCCAAGUCUCCUGGCAGAUGGGGCAGUUGCUGUCUGUCCCUGUGGCCAUUUGUGUGCUCUGCAGCACGUUGGGGACAGCUGAAGACCAGGAGCUGCUCCCCUCGCUGGUGUCACACACUGCAGGAGGGAGAGACCAUAGUCACUGGCUGUGCCAAGGAGAGGAAUAAAAGGCAGGAAAUGCCCA
Molecule: long non-coding RNA, 1195 nt
Filed under: Parus major (Great Tit)
Lineage: Eukaryota; Metazoa; Chordata; Aves; Passeriformes; Paridae
Description: lncRNA (ENSPMJG00000014200.1)
Source: RNAcentral